GGUAAUACGUAGGGGGCGAGCUUAUCCGGGAAUUAUUGGGCGUAAAGAGUACGUAGGUGGUUUCCUAAGCGAGGGGUUUAAGCACUGGCUUAACCAAUGUUCGCCCCCCGAACUGGGAGACUUGAGUGCUGGAGAGGAAAGGGAAUUCCUAGUGUAGCGGUGAAAUGCGUAGAUAUUAGGAGGAACACCAGUGGCGAAGGCGCUUUCUGGACAGUAACUGACACUGAGGUACGAAAGUGUGGGGAGCAAACAGGAUUAGAUCCCUGGUAGUCCACACCGUAAACGAUGAGCACUAGGUGUCGGGUCCGCAAGGAUUCGGUGCGCAGUUAACGCAUUAAGUGCUCCGCCUGGGGAGUACGUACGCAAGUAUGAAACUCAAAGAAUUGACGGGGACCCGCACAAGCAGCGGAGCAUGUGGUUUAAUUCGAAGCAACGCGAAGACCUUACCAGGACUUGACAUCCCUCUGACAGCUUUGAUAAUGAUAAGCUUUCUUCGGACAGGGUGACAGGUGGUGCAUGGUUGUCGUCAGCUCGUGUCGUGAGAUGUUGGGUUAAGUCCCGAACGAGCGCAACCCUUGUCUUUAGUUGCCAUCAUUAAGUUGGGCACUCUAAAGAGACUGCGGGGACAACUCGGAGGAAGGUGGGGAUGACGUCAAAUCAUCAUGCCCCUUAUGUUCUGGGUACACACGUGCUACAAUGGUCGGUACAAAGAGCAGCAAGACCGCGAGGUGGAGCAAAUCUAAAAACCGAUCCCAGUUCGGAUUGCAGGCUGCAACUCGCCUGCAUGAAGUCGGAGUUGCUGUAAUCGUGGAUCAGAAUGCCACGGUGAAUGCGUUCCCGGGUCUUGCACACACCGCCCGU
This 861-nucleotide ribosomal RNA is filed under the name uncultured Bacillota bacterium. RNAcentral's name for it is "bacterial SSU rRNA". It matches the Rfam family "Bacterial small subunit ribosomal RNA", at positions 519 to 1397 of the family's 1533-position model. Lineage: Bacteria; Bacillati; Bacillota. The record is from RNAcentral.